Molecule: ribosomal RNA, 578 nt
Filed under: Escherichia coli
Lineage: Bacteria; Pseudomonadati; Pseudomonadota; Gammaproteobacteria; Enterobacterales; Enterobacteriaceae
Description: partial 23S ribosomal RNA
Rfam family: Bacterial large subunit ribosomal RNA
Source: RNAcentral
AAUGGCAUAAGCCAGCUUGACUGCGAGCGUGACGGCGCGAGCAGGUGCGAAAGCAGGUCAUAGUGAUCCGGUGGUUCUGAAUGGAAGGGCCAUCGCUCAACGGAUAAAAGGUACUCCGGGGAUAACAGGCUGAUACCGCCCAAGAGUUCAUAUCGACGGCGGUGUUUGGCACCUCGAUGUCGGCUCAUCACAUCCUGGGGCUGAAGUAGGUCCCAAGGGUAUGGCUGUUCGCCAUUUAAAGUGGUACGCGAGCUGGGUUUAGAACGUCGUGAGACAGUUCGGUCCCUAUCUGCCGUGGGCGCUGGAGAAUUGAGGGGGGCUGCUCCUAGUACGAGAGGACCGGAGUGGACGCAUCACUGGUGUUCGGGUUGUCAUGCCAAUGGCACUGCCCGGUAGCUAAAUGCGGAAGAGAUAAGUGCUGAAAGCAUCUAAGCACGAAACUUGCCCCGAGAUGAGUUCUCCCUGACUCCUUGAGAGUCCUGAAGGAACGUUGAAGACGACGACGUUGAUAGGCCGGGUGUGUAAGCGCAGCGAUGCGUUGAGCUAACCGGUACUAAUGAACCGUGAGGCUUAACCUU